CCCCUCCCAGGUUCACACUGGAGAGUUUCCAGUACUCUACCAGCUUUGACUAUGGGAGAGAGAGUCAAGCAGGGGCCUACCCAUUCCAUUCCUAGCUUGGGCAGUGGCUAGCGAGUAGAAGCCAAUCUGCUACAAGU
Ornithorhynchus anatinus (platypus) is the source of this 137-nucleotide small nucleolar RNA. The record is from RefSeq and is a predicted model, not a curated record. NCBI's taxonomy places the organism in Eukaryota, Metazoa, Chordata, Mammalia, Monotremata, Ornithorhynchidae.